GAAAAUUAAUAAAUAAAUAGAGGACAAGUUUUGUCUUGUUCAAAAUACAACUGUGGCCUGCCCAGUUAACAAAGACAACAAUCUAAAUCAAUGCCAAAGCCCCACUACAUGGACCAGUUUAUCUAUUAUAAUGCUUGAAUACCAUGUAGCAUACAACCCAGCACUGGGGAACGUCUGAAAUCCUAAUCAUCCUUCAAUGUCACAACUCGGUGAUCAUGCUUCUUUUAGGUCAUCCUAGUGACAAUAAAGUUUGAUUGAUGAAUCUGCGCCAGCAGUGAAUAACCAAGGUUGCCGAGGAUGGAACUUACAAUCCAUUAUUCCUACAACAUAUUGAAAAUUAGAACAGUAUCAAUUUCAUCUCAGAAGUACACAAAAAAAAAAAUUUACUUAUUCAGUAAUUAUGUAAACACUGCAGCACAGAUGCCCAAGCUUAGUUCACUGCACAAGAAGUUUCUCCACAGGUAAAAAAGCCCCAUGCAUCUGGAAGACUCACCUCUUCCAUUUGAGCUUGAAUGUCCACGGAGAAUUUCCAGUGGAACGAUAAGAGGGUUCUGAUUAAGAUCAGAAUAAACCAUGCCAUGAAAAACAUAUGCUGUGCAAUCAUCAGAGCAUGAUGCAAAUAGCGGGUAUGAACGAUGGAACACCACGCUUGUUAUAUCUUUCGGAUGACACCUGAGAAGCCCCAAAAUCACACAUCAGAUGAAGAACAAAAGAAAAAAGACAUGAGCCAAGAUAUAUCCCUUAUCAGCUACAACACGCGUAUGGAACAUCAAAAGGAAGAGAUAUUACAUGGAUAGAAAUUAUCUAUGCAUACAUCAUUAUGUGUAAGAUUUCUUCCAUCUGUAAUAGUGCUUGAAAUCAGAAACAACAAAAUAUCUAUCUAACAUUCAGUUAGUUAAGCAAGGCAUUCCACUUGACAGAUUUUGCAUGGUUCAAAAUUAUUUCCUCAAGGGUAAAAUAUUGUAAGUAUAGUUAAUUACAAUAUACUUAAAGAAAGUUAAUUAAUGAAAAAUAACAUUGAUCUAAUAAUAUUUGAAAAUUUAAGAAUUUUAAAAAAAUUACAUACUUAAGAAUUUUGUAAGGCUUAGAUGAAAGGUCCAUAUCAAACCAACAUAAUUUUCCCUCCUUGCUUCCCACAAUUACAUUAUCACCUGCAUCGAAGACAAUCCUCAGAUAUGAGACAAGUGGAAAACAAGGAACAAAUACAAGCUGUGAAAAUCAAUGAAGAAGAACAGGAGUACAACCAGCAAUAUGAACUGCAAUGGAGGAAACUUCACGGAGUCCCAUCUCAAGCUUCUUAAUCAGCUUGUGCUUCAACAAAUGAUAAACACGAACAUUCUUCUUUGUUGCAACGAAGAACACAGAAUGACUAGGAUGAAAAACUGAUGAUACUGGAAGCCCACGCAGCUUAAAUGGAAGUCUUUGUGUAAGCUUCUUAGAAAGCUGGUGUAUAAGAACUGCUUUUGAUUCCCCAGCUGGCAUCACAGUACAGAAAUAGUCCCCUUUACGAUGCCAUUGUACC
Molecule: unclassified non-coding RNA, 1522 nt
Filed under: Hevea brasiliensis (rubber tree)
Lineage: Eukaryota; Viridiplantae; Streptophyta; Magnoliopsida; Malpighiales; Euphorbiaceae
Source: RNAcentral